AGACGGAGGGGGCGAGCGUUGUUCGGAAUUACUGGGCGUAAAGGGCGCGUAGGCGGCCGGCCAAGUCAGGGGUGAAAGGCCUGGGCUCAACCCGGGAACGGCCUCUGAAACUGGCGGGCUCGAGGGCGAGAGAGGAUGGCGGAAUUCCCAGUGUAGAGGUGAAAUUCGUAGAUAUUGGGAAGAACACCGGUGGCGAAGGCGGCCAUCUGGCUCGCAACUGACGCUGAGGCGCGAAAGCGUGGGGAGCAAACAGGAUUAGAUACCCUAGUAGUCC
Molecule: ribosomal RNA, 274 nt
Filed under: uncultured bacterium
Lineage: Bacteria
Description: partial 16S ribosomal RNA
Rfam family: Bacterial small subunit ribosomal RNA
Source: RNAcentral